UACGUAGGGACCAAGCGUUGUUCGGAUUUACUGGGCGUAAAGGGCGCGUAGGCGGCGUGUUAAGUCACUUGUGAAAUCUCUGAGCUUAACUCAGAACGGUCAAGUGAUACUGAUGUGCUAGAGUGCAGAAGGGGCAACCGGAAUUCUUGGUGUAGCGGUGAAAUGCGCAGAUAUCGGGAGGAACACCGGUGGCGAAGGCGGUUCUCUGGGCCUUACCUGACGCUGAGGAGCGAAAGCGUGGGGAGCGAACAGG
RNAcentral lists this ribosomal RNA (253 nucleotides) under uncultured bacterium. Its description in RNAcentral is "partial 16S ribosomal RNA". It matches the Rfam family "Bacterial small subunit ribosomal RNA", at positions 524 to 776 of the family's 1533-position model. The record is from RNAcentral.